GGAGUUAUCCGGUGCUUCUUCUGUGAGUGAUGUCCUUCCUGCCGGCUAUUAACCCGCAGGCCUUCUUCCUCACUGAAAGUGCUUUACAACCCGAAGGCCUUCUUCACACACGCGGCAUGGCUGGAUCAGGGUUGCCCCCAUUGUCCAAUAUUCCCCACUGCUGCCUCCCGUAGGAGUCUGGGCCGUGUCUCAGUCCCAGUGUGGCUGAUCAUCCUCUCAGACCAGCUACGGAUCGUCGCCUUGGUGAGCCGUUACCUCACCAACCAGCUAAUCCGACAUAGGCUCAUCCGAUAGCGCGAGGCCCGAAGGUCCCCCGCUUUCCCCCGGUAGGGCGUAUGCGGUAUUAGCCUGGGUUUCCCCCGAGGUUAUCCCCCACUACCGGGCAGAUUCCUAUGCAUUACUCACCCGUCCGCCGCUCGCCACCAGGGAGCAAGCUCCCCGUGCUGCCGCUCGACUUGCAUGUGUUAGGCCUGCCGCCAGCGUUCAAUCUGAGCCAUGAUCAAACUCUGA
This 510-nucleotide ribosomal RNA is filed under the name uncultured bacterium. RNAcentral describes it as "partial 16S ribosomal RNA". The record is from RNAcentral.